This 18-nucleotide small nuclear RNA is filed under the name Arabidopsis thaliana (thale cress). RNAcentral's name for it is "snRNA_04952". Lineage: Eukaryota; Viridiplantae; Streptophyta; Magnoliopsida; Brassicales; Brassicaceae. The record is from RNAcentral.
UUUGACGUCAUUGCUCUG